ACUACAUGAAGCUGGAAUCGCUAGUAAUCGCGGAUCAGAAUGCCGCGGUGAAUACGUUCCCGGGUCUUGUACACACCGCCCGUCACACCAUGGGAGUCGGAAAUGCCCGAAGUCGGUGACCUAACUGAAAGGAAGGAGCCGCCGAAGGCAGGUCUGGUGACUGGGGUGAAGUCGUAACAAGGUACC
RNAcentral lists this ribosomal RNA (186 nucleotides) under uncultured bacterium. RNAcentral's name for it is "partial 16S ribosomal RNA". It matches the Rfam family "Bacterial small subunit ribosomal RNA", at positions 1315 to 1500 of the family's 1533-position model. The record is from RNAcentral.